UCGAAUCUAGAUUCGCCGGCCUCCUAUCUUGCUUAUCUACUUUCAGAGAGGCGAGGAUUCGGGGAUUCGUAUGAUCUUCUCGAGAUUCAUCAUCUCGUUAUCCUGAAAGAGUCCGAGAUUGUGGGGGACACUCGAUCUACACGCCUUAUAAGUUGAAGAGGAACCGACGUCGCUUCCUUGACCCGAGUUCAAAGAGGUCAACGCAAUGGCGUCCCAUGAAGAACGUGAGCGCUUGCUCUUCAUGGCCAAGCUCGCCGAACAAGUCCACAGAUACGACGGUACGUCGUUGCCAUCUUCCCUAUUCUGUUAGGGUUUUAUGCACCGCUGUUGCUUGUCACGCAGAGAUGGCAGACUCGAUGAGGAAGCUGGCGCACCUCGACGUGGAGCUCACCACCGAGGAGAAGAGGUUGCUGUCGGCGGCGUACAAGGAGGUGGCCGCGGCCAGGAGGGACUCGUGGAGGAUCCUCGCCUCGAUCGACGACGAGGACGCGAAAGCGAAGGGUCGCUUCUUCGGGGUGAUCAGAGAGUACCGCCGGAAGGUGGAGGCGGAGCUCGCGAGCAUCUGCAACGAUGUGCUGGCCAUGGUCGACGACCACCUCAUUCCCUCCUCGUCCGAUGCCGAAUCGUCUGUCUUCUACCACAAGAUGUGCGACAACGACUUCUCUCGUCGGUAUAUAUUCAUGGCAACUAGAGGUUUCCAAGGACCAAAAAUGUGACUUUUUAUCACGAUAAUUGUCAUAGGAAGGCAGAUUACUAUCGAUACCUCGCAGAAUCCAAGACGGGCAAUGAAAAGAAAGAGAUUGCAGACAAGUCGCUUAAAGUUUACCAGGCUGCUACCAAAAUAGCUGAAAAAGAGCUAUCUCCGACAAAUCCAAUUCGCCUGGGUUUGGCUUUGAACUUAUCCGUUUUCUAUUACGAGAUCAUGGGCUCACCCGUGCGGGCAUUCCAAGUAGCACAUCAGGCUUUUGAUGAAGCCAUCUGUGGGAUCGACUUGAUGGAUCCAGAAGAACCAUGCAAGGAUAGCACUUUGAUCUUGAAGUUACUGAAGGAUAACCUCGCUUUCUGGAUCUCUGAUGUCAAUACGUUCGUAGACUAGUGAUGUAAGUUCUCUAU
Musa acuminata AAA Group (dessert banana) is the source of this 1113-nucleotide long non-coding RNA. RefSeq lists it as uncharacterized. The record is from RefSeq and is a predicted model, not a curated record. Lineage: Eukaryota; Viridiplantae; Streptophyta; Magnoliopsida; Zingiberales; Musaceae. The transcript has 3 exons.